This 424-nucleotide ribosomal RNA is filed under the name uncultured bacterium. Its description in RNAcentral is "bacterial SSU rRNA". It matches the Rfam family "Bacterial small subunit ribosomal RNA", at positions 358 to 774 of the family's 1533-position model. The record is from RNAcentral.
AGGAUCAUUCGCAAUGGGGGAAACCCUGACGAUGCGACGCUGCGUGGAGGAUGAAGGCCUUCGGGUUGUAAACUCCUGUCAUGAGGGAAAAGGCGAGGGGACCCAACACGUUCUUUAGUUGAUGGUACCUCAAGAGGAAGGGACGGCUAACUCUGUGCCAGCAGCCGCGGUAAUACAGAGAUCCCUAGCGUUGUUCGGAUUUACUGGGCGUAAAGGGCGCGUAGGCGGCGUGGCGUGUCAAGUGUGAAAUCUCCGGGCUCAACCCGGAAAGUGCGCUUGAAACUAUCAUGCUCGAGGCCGGGAGAGGGAAUCGGAAUCGAGGGUGUAGCGGUGAAAUGCGUUGAUAUCCUCGAGAACACCGGAGGCGAAGGCGGAUUCCUGGAACGGCACUGACGCUGAGGCGCGAAAGUCGGGGGAGCAAACA